UCGGGGUACUCGAGUGGCGAACGGGUGAGUAACACGUGGGUGAUCUGCCCUGCACUUUGGGAUAAGCCUGGGAAACUGGGUCUAAUACCGAAUAUGACCAUGCACUUCCUGGUGUGUGGUGGAAAGCUUUUGCGGUGUGGGAUGGGCCCGCGGCCUAUCAGCUUGUUGGUGGGGUAAUGGCCUACCAAGGCGACGACGGGUAGCCGGCCUGAGAGGGUGACCGGCCACACUGGGACUGAGAUACGGCCCAGACUCCUACGGGAGGCAGCAGUGGGGAAUAUUGCACAAUGGGCGCAAGCCUGAUGCAGCGACGCCGCGUGAGGGAUGACGGCCUUUCGGGUUGUAAACCUCUUUCAAUAGGGACGAAGCGCAAGUGACGGUACCUAUAGAAGAAGGACCGGCCAACUACGUGCCAGCAGCCGCGGUAAUACGUAGGGUCCGAGCGUUGUCCGGAAUUACUGGGCGUAAAGAGCUCGUAGGUGGUUUGUCGCGUUGUUCGUGAAAACUCACAGCUUAACUGUGGGCGUGCGGGCGAUACGGGCAGACUAGAGUACUGCAGGGGAGACUGGAAUUCCUGGUGUAGCGGUGGAAUGCGCAGAUAUCAGGAGGAACACCGGUGGCGAAGGCGGGUCUCUGGGCAGUAACUGACGCUGAGGAGCGAAAGCGUGGGGAGCGAACAGGAUUAGAUACCCUGGUAGUCCACGCCGUAAACGGUGGGUACUAGGUGUGGGUUUCCUUCCUUGGGAUCCGUGCCGUAGCUAACGCAUUAAGUACCCCGCCUGGGGAGUACGGCCGCAAGGCUAAAACUCAAAGAAAUUGACGGGGGCCCGCACAAGCGGCGGAGCAUGUGGAUUAAUUCGAUGCAACGCGAAGAACCUUACCUGGGUUUGACAUGCACAGGACGCCGGCAGAGAUGUCGGUUCCCUUGUGGCCUGUGUGCAGGUGGUGCAUGGCUGUCGUCAGCUCGUGUCGUGAGAUGUUGGGUUAAGUCCCGCAACGAGCGCAACCCUUGUCUCAUGUUGCCAGCACGUAAUGGUGGGGACUCGUGAGAGACUGCCGGGGUCAACUCGGAGGAAGGUGGGGAUGACGUCNNUUCAUCAUGCCCCUUAUGUCCAGGGCUUCACACAUGCUACAAUGGCCGGUACAAAGGGCUGCGAUGCCGUGAGGUGGAGCGAAUCCUUUCAAAGCCGGUCUCAAGUUCGGAUCGGGGUCUGCAACUCGACCCCGUGAAGUCGGAGUCGCUAGUAAUCGCAGAUCAGCAACGCUGCGGUGAAUACGUUCCCGGGCCUUGUACACACCGCCCGUCACGUCAUGAANAAGUCGGUAACACCCGAAGCCGG
Molecule: ribosomal RNA, 1340 nt
Filed under: Mycobacterium sp. DWMJ-1144A3
Lineage: Bacteria; Bacillati; Actinomycetota; Actinomycetes; Mycobacteriales; Mycobacteriaceae
Also listed under: 1 other name
Description: bacterial SSU rRNA
Rfam family: Bacterial small subunit ribosomal RNA
Source: RNAcentral